AACGAACGCUGGCGGCGUGCCUAACACAUGCAAGUCGAGCGAGAAAGGGGAGCAAUCCCUGAGUGAAGCGGCAAACGGGUGAGUAACACGUGGGCAACCUGCCCUCGAGUGGGGAAUAACAUCUCGAAAGAGGUGCUAAUACCGCGUAGCAUCCGGACUUCCUUGGAGGUCCGGAUCAAAGGUAGGGAUCUUCGGACCUGCCGCUCGAGGACGGGGCCCGCGCCUGAUUAGCAGGUUGGGUGGGGUAACGGCCUACCAAGGCGACGAUCAGUAGCCGGCUGAGAGGGUGACCGGCCACACUGGAACUG
RNAcentral lists this ribosomal RNA (308 nucleotides) under uncultured bacterium. RNAcentral describes it as "bacterial SSU rRNA". It matches the Rfam family "Bacterial small subunit ribosomal RNA", at positions 29 to 321 of the family's 1533-position model. The record is from RNAcentral.